UACGUAGGGCGCAAGCGUUGUCCGGAAUUAUUGGGCGUAAAGAGCUCGUAGGCGGCCUGUUGCGUCCGCUGUGAAAUCCCGGGGCUUAACCCCGGGCUUGCAGUGGAUACGGGCAGGCUGGAGGCAGGCAGGGGAGAACGGAAUUCCCGGUGUAGCGGUGAAAUGCGCAGAUAUCGGGAGGAACACCGGUGGCGAAGGCGGUUCUCUGGGCCUGUACUGACGCUGAGGAGCGAAAGCGUGGGGAGCGAACAGG
This 253-nucleotide ribosomal RNA is filed under the name uncultured bacterium. RNAcentral describes it as "partial 16S ribosomal RNA". It matches the Rfam family "Bacterial small subunit ribosomal RNA", at positions 524 to 776 of the family's 1533-position model. The record is from RNAcentral.